Molecule: long non-coding RNA, 1202 nt
Filed under: Musa acuminata (dwarf banana)
Lineage: Eukaryota; Viridiplantae; Streptophyta; Magnoliopsida; Zingiberales; Musaceae
Description: long non-coding RNA (MACU_LNC007817)
Source: RNAcentral
CCCGACACAAGAACAGAACUCAAAAGAGCAUAGGCGGGACUAGAAGUUUCACAAGGCUAAGCAGCGGGACAAACGGAAGUUCAGUUACCAACAAUAGAGGAAGCCAGGGAAGACCUUUAGCUAUCGUGGAGCACUAACAACAAUUGCAUCAGAUGGAGCACUAACAACAAUUACUAUAUAAUAACAAUUAAUAUAUAAUAAAUAUACCUUUCACUCCAGUCCUUUAUACCUGUCCUAUUCAUUCUAUUACUUACAGCGCUAGAUCUAUCCCAUAUUCAAUACCGGCACCAAUUACACUAAAGCAGAAUCAUUAGCCGAGGGGGCAACAACAAACAAGGCUCCUGACGCCAUGAAUACUAGACUUGCCCAUAUAACGGGUUAUAACUCAUUAAUUACGACAAACACUUGACAGGUCGCCAACACCUAAGAAGAGGAUUUCAUAGUAGGGCACGACAGAGAAUAUGUCUUAGUUGACUCGGAACAAGCAAAUCCACAAGUGUACAAAAGAAUUGAGGAACAAGAAAAGCACCGAGAAUGUUCUAAUUUAUGCAUAACACAAAGAAGAAAGUCUUAUAUUAUCGAAAAAGUCACUCUUGUACAGAUAUCCGUAGUAUUUGACGUACAUAUCUUAUGCUUCCUAACCUGAACGAACCCCAACAAGUCGAUAAGCAUUUACUUAAGAAUUUCAUGGAAUUUGCAGACUUCGGUAGGCGGAAAUGGGACAAGCAACAGUACUAGAGCAAGAAAGAAGACAUGAUCUGGUAUUGAAUGAAACUAAUAACUCAGGAUAAGGUACGAUCUUUCUUUCACUCCUAAUGCUAGGCUUCAGCGCAAGAAAGAUGAAAUGCAGAAUUGUUUACAAAGGGCAGCUAGCGACUUCACCUCUUCUUCAAGAGUAGCAAACACAGAUGAAACUAGGGGUGUGCUCUCCUCUGUAUUAGUUGACAUAGGUAUAGUAGUUUACAGAGCUGGAGCAGGCUUUCCCGAGUCGUACGAUAGAGGUUACAGGGCAAUGUUGGUAUAUAUAGAGGUUACAGGGCAAUGUUGGUAUAUAGAGGUUACAGGGCAAAUAAGGCUUUCACACCGGAUUGAGAGUCGCCCACUAGGGUGUUUCCAGUGCGAGUGAUAAAGUUCGGAAAGGGAGUUGACUAUCGAGUUUUUUCGAGUUUAUUGAAUUUUCUUCCUUUUCUUCCAAUACAAGG